RNAcentral lists this ribosomal RNA (1348 nucleotides) under Asianopis zhuanghaoyuni. Its description in RNAcentral is "SSU rRNA". It matches the Rfam family "Eukaryotic small subunit ribosomal RNA", at positions 38 to 1411 of the family's 1831-position model. The record is from RNAcentral. Lineage: Eukaryota; Metazoa; Arthropoda; Arachnida; Araneae; Deinopidae.
CUCAGAUUAGCCAUGCAUGUCUAAGUACAUGCCGUAUUAAGGCGAAACCGCGAAUGGCUCAUUAAAUCAGUUAUGGUUCCUUGGAUCGUACCUUACUACUUGGAUAACUGUGGCAAUUCUAGAGCUAAUACAUGCAGCAGAGCUCCGACCUUCGGGGACGAGCGCUUUUAUUAGACCAAAACCAAUCGGACCUCGUGUCCGUACGAUGUGGUGACUCUGUAUAACUUUGGGCUGAUCGCACGGGCCCGUCCCGGCGACGUAUCUUUCAAGUGUCUGCCUUAUCAACUGUCGAUGGUAGGUUACUCGCCUACCAUGGUCGUAACGGGUGACGGGGAAUCAGGGUUCGAUUCCGGAGAGGGAGCCUGAGAAACGGCUACCACAUCCAAGGAAGGCAGCAGGCGCGCAAAUUACCCACUCCCGGAACGGGGAGGUAGUGACGAAAAAUAACAAUACGGGACUCUUUUGAGACCCCGUAAUUGGAAUGAGUACACUCUAAAUCCUUUAACGAGGAUCCAUUGGAGGGCAAGUCUGGUGCCAGCAGCUGCGGUAAUUCCAGCUCCAAUAGCGUAUAUUAAAGUUGUUGCGGUUAAAAAGCUCGUAGUUGGAUCUCAGUUCCAGACGGGUGGUCCGCCUACCGGUGGUCACUGCCCGUUCUGAACAGCCAGCCGGUUUCCCUUGAUGAUCUUCACCGGUUGUCUCGGGUGACCGGCAAGUUUACUUUGAAAAAAUUAGAGUGCUCAAAGCAGGCGUGACGCCUGAAUAAUGGUGCAUGGAAUAAUGGAAUAGGACCUCGGUUCUAUUUUGUUGGUUUUCGGAACACGAGGUAAUGAUUAAGAGGGACAGACGGGGGCAUUCGUAUUGCGACGCUAGAGGUGAAAUUCUUGGACCGUCGCAAGACGAACUACUGCGAAAGCAUUUGCCAAGAAUGUUUCCAUUAAUCAAGAACGAAAGUUAGAGGUUCGAAGGCGAUCAGAUACCGCCCUAGUUCUAACCAUAAACGAUGCCAGCCAGCGAUCCGGCUGUGUUUCUCAAAAUGACACGCCGGGCAGCUUCCGGGAAACCAAAGCUUUUGGGUUCCGGGGGAAGUAUGGUUGCAAAGCUGAAACUUAAAGGAAUUGACGGAAGGGCACCACCAGGAAUGGAGCUUGCGGCUUAAUUUGACUCAACACUGGGAAACUUACCCGGCCCGGACACAGGAAAGGAUUGACAGAUUAAGAGCUCUUUCUUGAUUCUGUGGGUGGUGUGCAUGCCGUUCUUAGUUGUGAGUGAUUUGUCUGGUUAUUCCGAUACGAACGAGACUUCUAGCCUACUAAAUAGACGCUCGAUCAUUUAUAGUCGACGUUCUUCU